GAACUGCGAUAAGUAAUGUGAAUUGCAGAAUUCAGUGAAUCAUCGAGUCUUUGAACGCACAUUGCGCCCCCUGGCAUUCCGGGGGGCAUGCCUGUCCGAGCGUCAUUGCUGCCCUUCAAGCCCGGCUUGUGUGUUGGGUCGUCGUCCCCUCCGGGGGACGGGCCCGAAAGGCAGCGGCGGCACCGCGUCCGGUCCUCGAGCGUAUGGGGCUUUGUCACCCGCUCGAUAAGGACCGGCCGGGCGCCAGCCGGCGUCUCCAACCUUUUUUUCUCAGGUUGACCUCGGAUCAGGUAGGAUACCCGCUGAACUUAAGC
This 314-nucleotide unclassified non-coding RNA is filed under the name plant metagenome. RNAcentral's name for it is "partial contains 5.8S ribosomal RNA, internal transcribed spacer 2, and large subunit ribosomal RNA". The stretch from base 1 to 105 matches the Rfam family "5.8S ribosomal RNA", at positions 50 to 154 of the family's 154-position model. The record is from RNAcentral.